RNAcentral lists this long non-coding RNA (3874 nucleotides) under Lactuca sativa (garden lettuce). Its description in RNAcentral is "long non-coding RNA (LSAT_LNC006148)". The record is from RNAcentral. Lineage: Eukaryota; Viridiplantae; Streptophyta; Magnoliopsida; Asterales; Asteraceae.
UGGGCUUCAUCUAAAAUAUUCUGUCUUAAUCCACCAAUCUUUGGAAUCCAUAGCCGAUUCUUAAAUACUUUCAAUCCACAUGGAUCAUCAAGUAAAAUAUCAACAUAAUGUACCAUCCCUUCCUUCUUCACAUUUUCUGGCUUUAAGGCCUCUACUUGCCAUUUCUCUGGUUCAUCAAUGAUAGUGAACUUUACUGUAGUGUGAGUAAUAACAUAACACACACUAUUAUGAUAAACCUUUCUGCUAAGUGCAUCGGCAACUACAUUGGCCUUUCCAGGAUGAUACAAGAUUUCAUAGUCAUAGUCUUUAAUCCUCUCCAUGGCUCGCUGUUGUCUCAUAUUCAAUGUUUGCUGACAAAAUAUAUCCUUGAGAUUUUGUGGUUGGUAAACAAUUGACAUUUUGUACCAAAAAGAUAAUGCCUCCAAAGUAUUAGGGCAAAUACUACUGCAGCGAGUUCGAGGUCAUGGGUGGGAUAAUUCUUUUCAUACUCUUUUAGUUGUCUUGAAGCAUAGGCUAUUACUCUACCACGUUGCAUCAACACACAACCGAGUCCCAACCUUGAAGCAUCGCUAUACACGGAAAAAUCAUUAUCACCUUUUGGGAGUGAUAAGAUCGGAGCAUGAGUCAAAAGAUCUUUUAGAGUUGAGAAAACUUUUUCUUGGGCUUCACCCCAUUCGAACUUUACUUCCUUUCAUGUAAGACUUGUGAGAGGUACAACUAUGCGUGAAAAGUCUUUAAUGAAUCUCCGGUAAUGCCCCACGAGACCCAAGAAACUAUGAAUUUCAGAAGCAUUACGAAGCGCUUCCCAAUUCUGAAUGGCUUCAAUUUUAGUAGGAUCUACUGAUAUACUGUCACCAGAAAUCACGUGGCCGAGAAAUUGAAUUUGACGAAGCCAAAAUUCAUAUUUUGAGAAUUUAGCAUAUAAUUUCUCCUUUCGAAGAAGUUCUAAUAUUUCACGAAUAUGAAUGGCAUGAUCAGCUUCAGACUUGGAAUAUAUUAGAAUAUCAUCAAUAAAUACGAUGAUAGAUUUAUCGUGCAUUGGACGGCAUACCCGAUUCAUCAUAUCCAUGAAUAUAGUAUGAGCAUUUGUCAAACUGAAUGGCAUGAAAAGGAAUUCGAAAUGCCCAAAAUGAGUACGGAAAGCAAUCUUCAGUACAUCCUGCUCGUGUACUUUCAACUGAUGAUAGCCAGAACUCAAAUCAAUCUUUGAGAAAUAGCUAACACCCUAAAGUUGAUCAAACAAGUCAUCUAUGCUAGGUAGUGGAUACUUGUUCUUGAUAGUUACCUUAGUUAGCUCGCGAUAAUCAAUACACAUUCGCAUCGAUCCGUCCUUUAUCUUGACAAACAAUAUUGGAGCACCCCAAGGAGAGGUACUCGGUCAGAUAAAGCCUUUGUCAAGUAAUUCCUGUAGUUGAAUCAUCAUUUCCUUCAUCCCAGCUGGUGCAAGACGAUAAGGAGUCUUUGCAAUCGGAGCAGCACUAGGCAUAUGGUCGAUUUGGAAUUCUACUUGCCUGUCCGGAGGAAGUCCAGGAAAAUCAUCGGGUAAAACAUCAGGAUAUUCGUUAACAACGGAAAUAUUAUUUACAGUUUUCUUCCCUUCUUUUGAGAUAUCAACUGUAUAGGCCAGAUAAGUAGAACACCCCUUCGAUAUAAAUUUACGAGAUUUUAAGAAAGAGAUUAUUUUUAAGAUUUGAAGUCUUUGUUCACCGUAGACAUAAAUAGGAUUCUUCCCUUCGAUAGGAAUGCAUACUAUCUUUUCAUAGCACACGAGUUCUGCGCGGUUCUUUGACAACCAAUCCAUGCUAAGAAUAAUAUCAAAGUUAGGCAAGGAGAUAGGAAUCAGGUUAGCAAGAAAGUUAUAAUCUUCAAUUUCUAUGACAUAAUCUCUAUAGACUUUAUCAGCAAGUAAUGAUACACUUCCCUCUAUAUCUACAUGAAACGGUUGAGCUAGUGCAUAUCAAGCAAUUUGAAAAGAACGCGCAAAUUCAUCAGACACAAAAGAAUCUGUGGCACCAGAAUCAAAUAAGAUGUGAGAAGGUCUAGAGUUGACGAGAAAUGUACUGGUUACAACAUUAGGGUCUUCGUGUGCCUAUUCUGUGAUAAUCUGAAAUGCACGACCUUUAGCUUUUGGAACCUCCUCCUUUUUAGUUGGAGUACUCUUUGGUUGUUGAAUGAAAGCUUGACUCCCUGUCAUUUAACUAGUAAGAGUAGGGCAGAAGCGCUUCCUAUAUCCAGUAACACCACAAGCAUAGCAAGUAACAUUCUUCAUCGGGCAAACAGUCUUCAUGUGGCCUAUUUCUCCAGAUCCAUAAUAGAUCACUGAUCCUUUUUUUCUAAUCUUCAUUCGCCUUGAUGAUUCUUUCUACAAUUUCGACACGAUGGUGACUAAAGAGAAAAAGACUGUGACCUACAGCGGCCACGAGAGGUGUUAUGAGAUUGCACUUGUUUGCUGGGAUCAGAUCGAGCGGAUCAAGCUGAUAGAAUAGAGGAAACCGGAACAGUUCGAUCAACACGUGGAUGCUUCGGAACAGAAAGGCCGACACCACGUAUUUCUAAGUCAUGCUCGGGCUUUCGUGCAUACUCAACAACUUUAUCAAAUGACAGAACAUCCCUAUUAGCCACGAAAUCGCGGAUUUCAUACCGUCGUCCUUCCAGGAAUAACUGGAUUUUAUCGUCUUCAGUUGGAAUAUACUUUGCAGCAAAUCGUGCUUUUUGAUUGAAUUGAGUUUCAUAAUCAUUCACAGUCAUUCCUCCCUGUUUAAGCUCGAGGAAUUCUUUCUCUAAUCUUCUCCUCAUGUCUAGAGGACAAUACUUUCCUAACAAGCGAGUUUUAAACAUCUCCCAAGAUAAAUUAUCUUGGUCAUACUCGUUGAGAGCUUCGAAUGUUGCUUCCAACAAGACUAAGGCUUCUCCGAUGAGCAUUGCAGAAGCAUAAAUAGUCUUGUCUUUAUUAACCACAUGAGAGAUACGAAAUGCUUUUUCUGUGUUCUGGAUCCAUGUAAGAACUGAUUAGCUAAGAGAAGCCCUGGAGUAAGGCUUUAGCCUCAGCCUCCAUAUUAUUGCCCUGACCAAAGUUGCAUGAGAAUGUUAAAACAAUUAAACCUGCUGACUCUUUAAUGCAGCCACCUACUGCACUUAACAAACAAGAGAAUGGGCCAUACGGGUGCCUACAUUGUUAGUCUAUUUGAUUUACGGGAAGAGAUAUUUAUUGAAUAGAAAGAAUGAAACCUGUACCAGCUUAUCGCCAACCGUGCUUCCUACUAACUCCGCCUAUCCCAGACGGUCGGUCCUAUUGAUUUAGCCGCACCUGAACCCGCAACAGCUGCCUCUAGUCCGAAAGCAACUUACUUUUCUGAUGAAUCUUAGCUUGCUUUUUGAAUACAGUCAAAGUGGGACAUCCCUUGUUCUCGCAUUCCUUGCCCUUCACCCUCAGCUAGUUGCCUUCUUUCCUAGGGAAUUCAAUCACAUCGGAUCAGUGAGCUAAAGUCAGUCCCUCAACAGCUAAAGUAACUGCUUUAUCUGUCACCCUCCGUAAUUAAAGCCUGUCACCAAGCCUUAAGUCAAAAGAUCUGGUUUCAAGCCCUUUAGUUUAGGGCACCAAGUGAAUCAAAGCAAGAGCUUACUUAGAGCUCAUGGGAUUAAGAACACCAGAAAACUCCGUAGCACCAUUACUCUUGAAAGUUUUGAAUGAAGGACGUUUCACCUCCCUUUUGAAGAUUCUCUGGUGACUUUCUCUUUUCCUUUAUCACUAUCUUUUUUGUGUUCUUCGAGAGUCUUCCGAAUAACACCAGUAAGUUUAUGCACAAGUCGCUCCUCACGAGGGGAUACUGGAGUAUUUACUUCAUCAGUUUGAGGAUCUCCACCCAUAUCUGGU